GCCUCCGGGCUCCGACGCCUGCGCAAUGCGGAGUAUAUGGUAGUGGGGCGGGGCGGCUUCGCAGUGUUUGCCCCGCCUGCUCUUACAAGUCUCCACUGAGGGCGAGUCCACCGCCUCCCUAGGUAAUUUAUGCCAGCGCUUAGCCGCCCUGACAGGAAGCUUUCCCUGAUGGCCAAGGGAGUCUCUCAAGAAUCAUCGAGGACCCAUGCCUGAAGUUGCAGUAUUUCCAGAUUAGGGUGAUGCACCUGACUGGCAUUCUGAGACAACAGAUGAAAACCAGUUGGAAGUCUCAGUGGUGGACAAGAAGCAAGCCAAAUGAGGUAUAGCAGCCAAGGAAGACCAGUUAGCAGAUUUACAUCCUCUCAGUGCAGCUGAACAAUGCCAAAUACUAAUAAUAAUGCUCAUUGUAGUAUCUGCCUGCGUGAACCAAAUUAUGUAGGGAUAUAUUAGUGUCUGCAGAUGUCACUGGCUGCUUCUCCCCAAGGAGACUCCUGAAUAGUGAGCCUGAGGCUGGCCUUCCAUGCUUCUAAAGAUAAACUCACAGAGCUAAAACCAGAAUUGGGCAAGAGUACUCCAGGCCAAGACUUAGUACCAGUGCCACAUACUCUGCCUCUUCCCCCUGCUAAAAGGCCCAUGCCAUGCAUUGGCUUUUGACACUCAGGGCCUCCAAGUUUGAAGUUGGUAAUACAGAGCGGUGGGUCAAACAAGUAGAGUUAGCAGGUCCCAACUCACCCAAGGUUCAAGUAACUUCUGAUGUGGGAGAUACUUAUAGGACCACUGCUUGAAAUUGGAUGGCUGCCCAUAAAUCUGCUUGGUUACAAAUAAGUGGGCUUUAACAAGAGAUCCAGAGAGAGCUUAAGGACCUGAUAUUACAACAUAGAGAACUUGUUUGGAGAACAGGAGCAAAAGGAGAGAGGCCUCACAGUCUCUCCAAAUAUUCUUUCAAGGGAAGAUUCUGGUUCGUAAGUGGACUUUCAUGUCAACAACGAACUUCAAGGAAACUCACUACUCCCCUGCACUGGGUGCACUGUGCACUGUCUCAGCUAUGCCAAAAUCAGAGGAAUUUAGAAAAUGUGCUAUGGUAGUUAAAUGAGGAACAGACAUUCUGAGAGGACACUUCCGCCAAUACCAUUGUGUAGGGUGCCUGAUAUAAUGAACAAGGUCACACCUGCUCACAUCCAAGUAUAAGUGGAAGGACUCCAGAGAGAGACACUAACAUCCUGGAGACUGACAUUGCCCAGGGAAGGGUCAAUCAGGGACACUGGAAUUAAACCUAUAAACAGACUGCAUGCUGACAACCUGCAAGAGAAACAAGAUUGAGAACGUACAGCAGUGAAUUUACCUCAAAGGGAAAUCUCUUUCUUAACUCUGACAAGAAGAGCAAAAAGUACCUCACCUGAUCCACUUAGUUAAGAAGACCUCCAAAGAGGGACAAACAGGCUACAUUCAGCAGGGAAGUGCAGGGGGAAAAGAGACAGUCAUGAGUAACAGCAAGAUUAGGGAAUGAAGUUACAUAUUCUGCACACCAGAGGAAACAUAUUACCCUAAGAAAAAAUUCUCAAACCAGUCAAAAAGUGAUAUUUACAUAUUGCUAGAAUCAGUUCUUCACCUGAAAUGGUAUUUCAGUUGUUGCAUGUAACUCAAGAGGAAGCAUUCCUUAUAUUUAACAUAUUGAUUAUGAACACAGCAAAAUAUAUUCAGUUUACCUUUAUUGAGUUGACAAAUACCAGCCAAAAAAAACACAUUUAUAAAAAUCAAAAUAUUUAAAUAACCAGCAAUUGAGAGAAGUGCCCUUACUAGUUCAAUGAAUAAGAUCUAGCAACUACUCUAUAGUUGAAAGUUAUUUUUUUAACCUAACAUCUUUUGUGCAGCUUUUCUAUUAUGCUGUGUGGAGAUAUUAAUCAAAGUUGUAUGCCCCAAUUCUGUAAUGACAAUGACAUUUAUGAAACCAACUCUUUCAAAAAAUAGUAAACUGUUCUUUUGGACAUAAAAUCAUCAUGUGUUGCACUGCCACAUUCUAUGGUGCAGUCAAGUACAUAAAAUAAAUGUUAGUUGGUAUGUUAUCAGUGAACAAACUAUCUAAAUCAUUAGUUUAACCUCAUUUCACAUGGUAUACAAAGGAACUAUUUUCACUGCUAACUUGAAAUACUACACAAGGAAACAAGCAAUUCAGUAAAAAAUGGUCAGAGAUCUCCUCAAACUGAUAUACUAAUACAGUAUAUUUCAGAAACUGACUAAAAGUUAAGCUACUAAAACAUGAACAAAGUUUUUUUGCCACAAGUGUAUAUGAUUUCAGAAAUACUAAAACGUGGCUAAACUGCAUUGAAACUGUACAUCUGAUUCAGCAGAAUACAAUACAUAUUAAUCCAGGCAAAAAAAAGUUUAAGGACAAAAGUUUCAACAUAAAUAAUUUGCAGCAUUUAUUCAAUAUUGAAUAUUCAGAUACUUUAUCAAGCCAGUUACAUGUAAAGUAACCUCUGCCAUUUAAAUGUAUAAUGUGCAUUAUCUAAAAUUACUAGAAUGCAGUAGCUUACAAUUUACAGUUAGCUUUGAAUGAACCAAAAAAAGUGAAACUGGUUUUAAUAUUGAGAUUAGAGGGAAUAGCGUACACUACCUGUAACAGACAUUUAAAUGACUUUCAUGGCAAGCUCAAUCUAUGUAGAAAGAAAAGGGAGUCAUUUCAAGAACUAUGAAUUCUUUCAGUUUAGGAUUUGAACACUUACCUUCAAAAUUAAAUUUCAGUUUUAUUUUUUCCAAAUAAUGAGGGAACCAAAUAUUACAUUAGAUUUACUAUAACAAAGCCUGCUCUGAACAUCUAAACCCUGUUUCUAUCGAGAGCAGAACAAGGAAGUUCCUCCACCGGCAAGAUAGUUAUUCCACCCAGAUUUAUGAUUGGAAAGAACUCCUUCAUUUUUUCUUGAUUAAUACCUUCAAGCUGCUCAUGAAGAGCAAGAUCACAAGUACAAUGGGUAAACUGUUCUAAAUAUGACUUCAAGCAAAAGAAAUAUUCAGAACGAAGUUGCUUUUUUAUCUCAACAACUGUUUUCAAGUUGAAACUAGACUUGGAAAUUCACCCAUACAGUCAGUUGACACAUCUCCUGACAUUUUCAGUGGAUGUUAGUUCCCAUGCCAGGCAUAUCUGAUAUCUAAAAUACAGAGUUAUGUGAAUUUAUAACAGCACUUUAUGAAGAUUUAAUGUGUAACACACUUACACUUGACAAAGGAAAUAUUUUAUAACUUUAAUAUAUUAAACAUCUCAGCAAAGAACAUAAAGCCUAUGCACACAAUACAGUGACAUGAACAAACACUAAAGACUUAUUUUUCCUUUCAAUAGCACUGACAUUGUGAAUGGUUAACAAGUUAUACUAUAUCCUAAAACAGUCUCCUUUCUCCACACAACCUAUACAUACAGUAUCAUAUGGAUAUAUUACAUAGCACAGAAACAAGCAGCAGAUGCAUUAAGGGAAUAGGGGCUAUAUGCAUCAUAUAGCCUGCCUAGGAAGAGGCAAACGUCAGAAAACCAUUUAUGCAAUUAGCAUAGAUACAAUCAGUAGAGCUAAUUAAAUACCCGUCAUUUUCAAAAGUCAAUCCACAGCAAGGGGAAGAAAGGCUUUAGAGAGAGUUUUGCACCCAGCUUCAGAAGCAAUAUGAGCAGAUUAAG
Long non-coding RNA from Chelonia mydas (Green sea turtle), 3661 nucleotides. RefSeq lists it as uncharacterized. The transcript has 4 exons. The record is from RefSeq and is a predicted model, not a curated record. NCBI's taxonomy places the organism in Eukaryota, Metazoa, Chordata, Testudines, Cheloniidae.